This 453-nucleotide ribosomal RNA is filed under the name uncultured Porphyromonadaceae bacterium. Its description in RNAcentral is "partial 16S ribosomal RNA". It matches the Rfam family "Bacterial small subunit ribosomal RNA", at positions 341 to 792 of the family's 1533-position model. Lineage: Bacteria; Pseudomonadati; Bacteroidota; Bacteroidia; Bacteroidales; Porphyromonadaceae. The record is from RNAcentral.
ACGGAAGGCAGCAGUGAGGAAUAUUGGUCAAUGGACGGAAGUCUGAAACAGCCAAGUCGCGUGAAGGAUGAAGGUAUUAUGUAUUGUAAACUUCUUUAGCAGUGGAGUAAUAAGGGGAUCGCGAUCCCUGAUGCAAGUACACUGAGAAUAAGGAUCGGCUAACUCCGUGCCAGCAGCCGCGGUAAUACGGAGGAUCCGAGCGUUAUCCGGAUUUAUUGGGUUUAAAGGGUGCGCAGGCGGCUUUUUAAGUCAGUGGUUAAAUCGUGACGCUCAACGUCAUCACGCCAUUGAUACUGGAGAGCUUGAUUGCGGUCGAGGUUUGCGGAAUUCGUUGUGUAGCGGUGAAAUGCAUAGAUAUGACGAAGAACACCGAUUGCGUAGGCAGCAGACCAGGCCGUAAAUGACGCUCAUGCACGAAAGUGCGGGGAUCGAACAGGAUUAGAUACCCUGGUA